Molecule: transfer RNA, 86 nt
Filed under: compost metagenome
Description: tRNA-Leu
Rfam family: tRNA
About the family: Transfer RNA (tRNA) molecules are approximately 80 nucleotides in length. Their secondary structure includes four short double-helical elements and three loops (D, anti-codon, and T loops).
Source: RNAcentral
GCGGGGUUGGCGGAAUUGGUAGACGCAGCAGACUUAAAAUUUGCCGGCCUCUGGCCUUGCGGGUUCGAUUCCCGCACCCCGUACCA